This 253-nucleotide ribosomal RNA is filed under the name uncultured bacterium. RNAcentral describes it as "partial 16S ribosomal RNA". It matches the Rfam family "Bacterial small subunit ribosomal RNA", at positions 524 to 776 of the family's 1533-position model. The record is from RNAcentral.
CACGUAGGGCGCAAGCGUUGUCCGGAAUUAUUGGGCGUAAAGAGCGUGUAGGCGGCCAAGCAGGUCCGUUGUGAAAACUGGAGGCUUAACCUCCAGACGUCGACGGAAACCGCGUGGCUAGAGUCCGGAAGAGGAGAGUGGAAUUCCUGGUGUAGCGGUGAAAUGCGCAGAUAUCAGGAAGAACACCAAUGGCGAAGGCAGCUCUCUGGGACGGUACUGACGCUGAGACGCGAAAGCGUGGGGAGCGAACAGG